Pseudophryne corroboree (corroboree frog) is the source of this 107-nucleotide small nuclear RNA. The record is from RefSeq and is a predicted model, not a curated record. Lineage: Eukaryota; Metazoa; Chordata; Amphibia; Anura; Myobatrachidae.
GUGCUUGUUUCAGCAGCACAUAUACUAAAAUUGGAAAGAUACAGAGUAGAUUGGCAUGGCCCCUGCACAAGAAUGACACACAAGUUAAUGGGCAGCAUGGAUGGUGU